GGAGGAAAAGAAACCAACAGGGAUUGCCUUAGUAACGGCGAGUGAAGCGGCAAAAGCUCAAAUUUGAAAUCUGGCACCUUCGGUGUCCGAGUUGUAAUUUGAAGAAGGUAACUUUGGAGUUGGCUCUUGUCUAUGUUCCUUGGAACAGGACGUCACAGAGGGUGAGAAUCCCGUGCGAUGAGAUGCCCAAUUCUAUGUAAAGUGCUUUCGAAGAGUCGAGUUGUUUGGGAAUGCAGCUCUAAGUGGGUGGUAAAUUCCAUCUAAAGCUAAAUAUUGGCGAGAGACCGAUAGCGAACAAGUACAGUGAUGGAAAGAUGAAAAGAACUUUGAAAAGAGAGUGAAAAAGUACGUGAAAUUGUUGAAAGGGAAGGGCUUGAGAUCAGACUUGGUAUUUUGCGAUCCUUUCCUUCUUGGUUGGGUUCCUCGCAGCUUACUGGGCCAGCAUCGGUUUGGAUGGUAGGAUAAUGACUAAGGAAUGUGGCUCUACUUCGGUGGAGUGUUAUAGCCUUGGUUGAUACUGCCUGUCUAGACCGAGGACUGCGUCUUUUGACUAGGAUGUUGGCAUAAUGAUCUUAAGCCACCCGUC
This 586-nucleotide ribosomal RNA is filed under the name Debaryomyces hansenii. RNAcentral's name for it is "eukaryotic LSU rRNA". It matches the Rfam family "Eukaryotic large subunit ribosomal RNA", at positions 52 to 653 of the family's 3401-position model. Lineage: Eukaryota; Fungi; Ascomycota; Pichiomycetes; Serinales; Debaryomycetaceae. The record is from RNAcentral.